This 367-nucleotide long non-coding RNA is filed under the name Homo sapiens (human). RNAcentral describes it as "HSALNT0369457". The record is from RNAcentral. Lineage: Eukaryota; Metazoa; Chordata; Mammalia; Primates; Hominidae.
AAAAAGAUAAAUCUGCCCUAUUCUAAUCAUGUCUUUGUCUUCUGUUUAUUCAAGUGUAUUCCAUUUGCUUUCGGGAAUAUUUGGAUGUUUUAGAACUAACAUUCUGCUUUAAUAAUCCAAACACACUAUAAUUCCAUCAAUUUGAGUCUCUUAAAAUGUUACACUGAAAUGAAUCUCUCUGAAGAUGGACUUAUUGAUUUCUAUAUUCUUCCUCUAGCAUCAUGAAAUUUGACCUCUUCAGCCGUGCAUGGUUAACACUCCAUCUAUCUGAGUAAGUCCUGCCUUGAAGAAUCGUGAGUGCAAACCAGUUUGAGAGAGAAGAGGAAAAAUAAAUGAGUCGUGCUCUGUCUUCCAGGCUGGAAUGCAG